GAUGAACGCUGGCGGCGUGCCUAAUACAUGCAAGUCGAGCGAACGGACGAGAAGCUUGCUUUUCUGAUGUUAGCGGCGGACGGGUGAGUAACACGUGGAUAACCUACCUAUAAGACUGGGAUAACUUCGGGAAACCGGAGCUAAUACCGGAUAAUAUUUUGAACCGCAUGGUUCAAAAGUGAAAGACGGUCUUGCUGUCACUUAUAGAUGGAUCCGCGCUGCAUUAGCUAGUUGGUAAGGUAACGGCUUACCAAGGCAACGAUGCAUAGCCGACCUGAGAGGGUGAUCGGCCACACUGGAACUGAGACACGGUCCAGACUCCUACGGGAGGCAGCAGUAGGGAAUCUUCCGCAAUGGGCGAAAGCCUGACGGAGCAACGCCGCGUGAGUGAUGAAGGUCUUCGGAUCGUAAAACUCUGUUAUUAGGGAAGAACAUAUGCGUAAGUAACUGUGCACAACUUGACGGUACCUAAUCAGAAAGCCACGGCUAACUACGUG
Molecule: ribosomal RNA, 497 nt
Filed under: uncultured bacterium
Lineage: Bacteria
Description: partial 16S ribosomal RNA
Rfam family: Bacterial small subunit ribosomal RNA
Source: RNAcentral